RNAcentral lists this ribosomal RNA (210 nucleotides) under Intestinimonas butyriciproducens. RNAcentral describes it as "partial 16S ribosomal RNA". It matches the Rfam family "Bacterial small subunit ribosomal RNA", at positions 723 to 935 of the family's 1533-position model. Lineage: Bacteria; Bacillati; Bacillota; Clostridia; Eubacteriales. The record is from RNAcentral.
AGCUCACUGGACUGCAACUGACACUGAUGCUCGAAAGUGUGGGUAUCAAACAGGAUUAGAUACCCUGGUAGUCCACACAGUAAACGAUGAAUACUCGCUGUUUGCGAUAUACAGUAAGCGGCCAAGCGAAAGCAUUAAGUAUUCCACCUGGGGAGUACGCCGGCAACGGUGAAACUCAAAGGAAUUGACGGGGGCCCGCACAAGCGGAGG